Molecule: ribosomal RNA, 460 nt
Filed under: uncultured bacterium
Lineage: Bacteria
Description: partial 16S ribosomal RNA
Rfam family: Bacterial small subunit ribosomal RNA
Source: RNAcentral
CCUACGGGUGACAGCAGUGAGGAAUAUUGGUCAAUGGGCGUAAGCCUGACCCAGCCAAGCCGCGUGAGGGAUGAAGGUUCUAUGGAUCGUAAACCUCUUUUAUAAGGGAAUAAAGUGUGGGAGGUGACCAGUUUUGUAUGUACCUUAUGAAUAAGGAUCGGCUAACUCCGUGCCAGCAGCCGCGGUAAUACGGAGGAUCAGAUCGUUAUCCGGAUUUAUGGGGGGUAAAGGGUGCGUAGGCGGCCUUUUAAGUCAGCGGGGAAAGUCUGUGGCUCAACCAUAGAACUGCCGUUGAAAAUGGGAGGCUGGAGUAUGUUAGAGGAAGGCGGAAUGCGUGGUGUAGCGGUGAAAUGCUUAGAUAUCACGCAGAACCCCGAUUGCGAAGGCAGCCUGCCAAGCCAUGACUGACGCUGAUGCACGAAAGCGUGGGGAGCAAACAGGAUUAGAUACCCCAGUAGUC